UCCCUAACCCUUCUGUGAACCUACCUAUCGUUGCUUCGGCGGACUCGCCCCAGCCCGGACGCGGACUGGACCAGCGGCCCGCCGGGGACCUCAAACUCUUGUAUUCCAGCAUCUUCUGAAUACGCCGCAAGGCAAAACAAAUGAAUCAAAACUUUCAACAACGGAUCUCUUGGCUCUGGCAUCGAUGAAGAACGCAGCGAAACGCGAUAAGUAAUGUGAAUUGCAGAAUCCAGUGAAUCAUCGAAUCUUUGAACGCACAUUGCGCCCGCCAGCAUUCUGGCGGGCAUGCCUGUUCGAGCGUCAUUUCAACCCUCGACCUCCCCUUGGGGAGGUCGGCGUUGGGGACCGGCAGCACACCGCCGGCCCUGAAAUGGAGUGGCGGCCCGUCCGCGGCGACCUCUGCGCAGUAAUACAGCUCGCACCGGGACCCCGACGCGGCCACGCCGUAAAACACCCAACUUCUGAACGUUGACCUCGAAUCAGGUAGGACUACCCGCUGAACUUAAGCAUAU
RNAcentral lists this ribosomal RNA (512 nucleotides) under Beauveria bassiana. RNAcentral's name for it is "eukaryotic LSU rRNA". The stretch from base 150 to 303 matches the Rfam family "5.8S ribosomal RNA". Lineage: Eukaryota; Fungi; Ascomycota; Sordariomycetes; Hypocreales; Cordycipitaceae. The record is from RNAcentral.